CGAGAAAGCCCGCAAGGGUGAGUACAGCGGCGCACGGGUGCGUAACACGUGAGUAAUCUGCCCUGGAGCCCGGAAUAACCUCCCGAAAGGGAAGCUAAUGCCGGAUGAGCCCACGGAGUCCUUGGACUCUGAGGGAAAAGGCGGCCUCUGUAUACAAGCUGUCACUUCAGGAUGAGCUCGCGGCCCAUCAGCUAGUUGGCGGGGUAAUGGCCCACCAAGGCAACGACGGGUAGCUGGUCUGAGAGGACGAUCAGCCACACUGGAACUGAGACACGGUCCAGACUCCUACGGGAGGCAGCAGUGGGGAAUCUUGCGCAAUGGGCGAAAGCCUGACGCAGCAACGCCGCGUGUGUGAUGAAGGUCUUCGGAUCGUAAAGCACUGUCGCGAGGGACG
This 394-nucleotide ribosomal RNA is filed under the name uncultured Anaeromyxobacter sp. RNAcentral's name for it is "bacterial SSU rRNA". It matches the Rfam family "Bacterial small subunit ribosomal RNA", at positions 67 to 447 of the family's 1533-position model. The record is from RNAcentral. Lineage: Bacteria; Pseudomonadati; Myxococcota; Myxococcia; Myxococcales; Anaeromyxobacteraceae.